UGAGUGGCUUUAUUUAAAGCCACAGCAGAACAUGUAGCACAUUGUAU
Non-coding RNA from Oryctolagus cuniculus (rabbit), 47 nucleotides. Lineage: Eukaryota; Metazoa; Chordata; Mammalia; Lagomorpha; Leporidae. The record is from Rfam.